RNAcentral lists this ribosomal RNA (468 nucleotides) under uncultured bacterium. Its description in RNAcentral is "bacterial SSU rRNA". It matches the Rfam family "Bacterial small subunit ribosomal RNA", at positions 28 to 507 of the family's 1533-position model. The record is from RNAcentral.
GAUGAACGCUAGCGGCAGGCCUAACACAUGCAAGUCGAGGGGCAUCAUGGCGUAGCAAUACGCUGAUGGCGACCGGCGCACGGGUGCGUAACGCGUAUGGAACCUACCCACCGCAGGGGGAUAACCCGCCGAAAGGCGGACUAAUACCCCAUGGUUCCCCGACCCUGCCUGGGGUUGGGGGUAAAGCCUACGGGCGGCGGUGGAUGGCCCUGCGUGCCAUUAGCUGGCUGGUGGGGUAACGGCCCACCAGGGCGACGAUGGCUAGGGGGUCUGAGAGGACGAUCCCCCACACUGGUACUGAGACACGGACCAGACUCCUACGGGAGGCAGCAGUCGGGAAUCUUCCACAAUGGGCGAAAGCCUGAUGGAGCGACGCCGCGUGAGGGAAGAAGGUCUUCGGAUCGUAAACCUCUGUCCUCAGGGACGAUGAUGACGGUACCUGAGGAGGAAGCCACGGCUAACUACGUG